RNAcentral lists this ribosomal RNA (46 nucleotides) under Thielaviopsis punctulata. RNAcentral describes it as "partial 28S ribosomal RNA". The record is from RNAcentral. Lineage: Eukaryota; Fungi; Ascomycota; Sordariomycetes; Microascales; Ceratocystidaceae.
UUGACCUCGGAUCAGGUAGGAGUACCCGCUGAACUUAAGCAUAUCA